GUAGCGGAGCAUGUGGUUUAAUUCGAAGCAACGCGAAGAACCUUACCUAAGCUUGACAUCCCAAUGACAUCUCCUUAAUCGGAGAGUUCCCUUCGGGGACAUUGGUGACAGGUGGUGCAUGGUUGUCGUCAGCUCGUGUCGUGAGAUGUUGGGUUAAGUCCCGCAACGAGCGCAACCCUUGUCUUUAGUUGCCAUCAUUACGUUGGGCACUCUAGAGAGACUGCCAGGGAUAACCUGGAGGAAGGUGGGGAUGACGUCAAAUCAUCAUGCCCCUUAUGCUUAGGGCUACACACGUGCUACAAUGGGUAGUACAGAGGGUUGCCAAGCCGUAAGGUGGAGCUAAUCCCUUAAAGCUACUCUCAGUUCGGAUUGUAGGCUGAAACUCGCCUACAUGAAGCUGGAGUUACUAGUAAUCGCAGAUCAGAAUGCUGCGGUGAAUGCGUUCCCGGGUCUUGUACACACCGCCCGUCACACCACGGGAGUUGGAGACGCCCGAAGCCGAUUAUCUAACCUUUUGGAAGAAGUCGUCGAAGGUGGAAUCAAUAACUGGGGUGAAGUCGUAACAAGGUAGCCGUAUCGGAAGGUGCGGCUGGAUCACCUCCUUUCUAAGGA
This 612-nucleotide ribosomal RNA is filed under the name Clostridioides difficile. RNAcentral describes it as "bacterial SSU rRNA". It matches the Rfam family "Bacterial small subunit ribosomal RNA", at positions 929 to 1533 of the family's 1533-position model. The record is from RNAcentral. Lineage: Bacteria; Bacillati; Bacillota; Clostridia; Peptostreptococcales; Peptostreptococcaceae.